GGGAGACAAAAGUAUGUGCAUCUCUUAGCUUGUUUAUACAUGCAUGGUAUAAACUAAAGAAACUAUAAUUUUCAUGUUAUAGCAGUUAUUUUUCCCAGUAAAAGUGCUCCUCAAUUGGCUUGAAACUUGAUGCAGUGGGUAUACGCUCAAUAAAUUACAAAUAUGUAUCGCAGUAUAGGCUCUUGUGAGUAGAUGUAGGGCUGUUCUAGUGGAAAUGUCUCUCUCUAUGGUAAAAUAAAU
RNAcentral lists this unclassified non-coding RNA (240 nucleotides) under Hevea brasiliensis (rubber tree). The record is from RNAcentral. Lineage: Eukaryota; Viridiplantae; Streptophyta; Magnoliopsida; Malpighiales; Euphorbiaceae.